RNAcentral lists this unclassified non-coding RNA (229 nucleotides) under Pasteurellaceae bacterium I31. RNAcentral's name for it is "partial RNaseP". The record is from RNAcentral. Lineage: Bacteria; Pseudomonadati; Pseudomonadota; Gammaproteobacteria; Pasteurellales; Pasteurellaceae.
CUCUAGGCUUGCAUUUACACACAAGCUCAAGCAACCUACCCGAACUCUCGGCGGGCCACCGAUUGAGUUCCUAUUUGGUCUUGCUACGAGUGGAGUUUACCUAGCUGCCAAAUGUUACCACUGGCACGGUGCGCUCUUACCGCACCCUUUCACCCUUACCAGCCAAAGCUGGCGGUCUGCUCUCUGUUGCACUAGUCGUAGGCUCGCGCCCCCCGGACGUUAUCCGGCG